Folsomia candida is the source of this 294-nucleotide long non-coding RNA. RefSeq lists it as uncharacterized. Lineage: Eukaryota; Metazoa; Arthropoda; Collembola; Entomobryomorpha; Isotomidae. The transcript has 2 exons. The record is from RefSeq and is a predicted model, not a curated record.
GGCCCCUAUGCGAUGCCUACCCUGCCUACCCUAGUUCCGCUAGUGGUUGACGCUGUACUUCAGUUAUUGGCUCACUUGUAAAAUACAUCACAUUUGAAUGGAAUAGAGAUGGGAGUUAAAUGAAGAAAGUUCAUGAAAUAAUUCGAAAAUGUUGUACUAAAUGUAAAUUCAAUGUUAGUAAAUGUAGAAAAAAUUAGGAUUUUGUGUAUAAGGAGUUAUUUAGAAAAUACUUAUAUUUUAUAAAAUAUUUGUACAGGAAGUAUGACUAAUAAACAUAAAAAAGCAUAACAACUA